GACGAACGCUGGCGGCGUGCUUAACACAUGCAAGUCGAGCGAACGGACGAGCUGUUUGUUUCUCUGAUGUUAGCCGCGGACGGGUGAGUAACACGUGGCUCACCUACCUAUUAGACUCGGCUAACUUCGGGAACCCGGAGCUAAUACCGAAUUCCCUUUUGAACCGCAUGGUUCAACAGUGAAAGACGGUCUUGCUGUUACUUCUAGAUGGUUCCGCGCUGCCUUAGCUAGUUGGUAAGGUAACGGCUUACCAACGCAACGAUGCAUAGCCGACCUGAGAGUGUGAGCGGGCACACUGGAACUGAGACACGGUCCAGACUCCGACGGGAGGCAGCAGUAGGGAAGCGUCCGCAAUGGGCGAAAGCCUGACGGAGCAACGCCGCGUGAGUGAUGAAGGUCAUCGGAUCGUAAAACUCUGUUAUUAGGGAAGAACAUAUGUGUAAGUGACUGUGCACAUCGUGACGGUACCUGAAGAGAAAGCCACGGCUAACUACGUG
This 497-nucleotide ribosomal RNA is filed under the name uncultured bacterium. RNAcentral's name for it is "partial 16S ribosomal RNA". It matches the Rfam family "Bacterial small subunit ribosomal RNA", at positions 28 to 507 of the family's 1533-position model. The record is from RNAcentral.